This is a long non-coding RNA of Phascolarctos cinereus (koala), 972 nucleotides long. RefSeq lists it as uncharacterized. The record is from RefSeq and is a predicted model, not a curated record. Lineage: Eukaryota; Metazoa; Chordata; Mammalia; Diprotodontia; Phascolarctidae.
GGGGUACCCUAAGAGAGAUCUGGGCUUUCAUCUUGCACUGGUGCACACUGUAUUCCUGGGUGCUAGAGUAUCCCUGGCCUGACCCUGUCCUCAGUGUCUGUAGACCUCUCUGUCUCCCUAUGUCAACCUGGGCUAGGCAAAUGAUUCAGUGUAACAUUUUCUGUAUUUCUCCAUUAGGAUUCAGUCUGAUGCAUUUUCUAUGUCUGUUUGAAGGAGUGUUGUGGAGAGGACCUCAUCUGCUUUCUGUCAUUCAGCUGUCAGGGCUGAAUCAUCAGAGUUCCUUUACUUCAUUCAUUCUUGAUCUAACCCUGGAACCCUACUAACACUGGAGGAAGGUGAGCUGAGGAGACAGAGCAAUGGAGUUUGGAUACAGGAACGCAAAGAACAAGAAAUCAACUAGAUGCCCAACAACUGAGGAACCACUAAAGGAAUGAGAACAUAUGAAUAAAAUGGAAUAUUUUACUGAGCCAUAAGAAACAAUGACUAUGAAGAAAUCAGAGAAGCAUGGGAAGAUUUAUCAGAACUGAUGUACAGGAAAGAAAACAGAGCCAGUAUGACAAGAUUCACAAUUACUAUAAUUUAAAUAGAAAUAAACCUUGAAACCAAACUAUGUAAUUAUGACAAAGCUUGGACCCAGAGAAGACAUGAGAAAAUGUACCACCCUUUCUUUACAGAGGUGAAGGACUAUGAGUGUAUAGCAUAUCUUCUCACAUGAAGCUGAUUAGUUUUGUUGAACUAUUUCUUUUUCUUCUUAGUCUUUAAAAUUGUGUUAUAUUGUUAGACAAGAGGUUAACAAAUAUCUGUAAAUGAGAGUAACAAAAACAAAAGAUGUCAAUAAGAAUUUUAAAAAACUAUGUUCACUAACAAAAUAAUAGUAGUUGACAUUUCUAAAGCACAAUGAGAUUUUUUUAAAAUUUAUUUUUCCCCAGUUACAUGUAAAAAUAAUUUUUAACAUGUUUAUAAAACUUUGAG